AGAGCUAUUUCUUCGGGAUUCAAGCUAGUAUGCAACUGGCUAAACAGUGGAGAAAGCUUGGUUGUUACUGUGCCCCAUCUCUCCUCUAGGGUAGCCAACAAGAUGUAAGCAGAAGUCUUAUGGUGUGGCUUCUGGGAAACCUCUCCAAAGAUCUUCAGAGAAUGAUCUUUGCAGGAAAUCUCUGUUACCUGAAGAUGAAAAGGAAUGUGAACCAACUCUGAUCCCAAUUCAGACCUUCGCCAACUGACAGUUCAGGUGAAGGCCCUCUGGGGUGACCAGAAAGCAAAGAAAAGAUGAGUAUAUUAUUGCUGAACAGUUCUCUUUCAGAAAAAGAGAAUAAAAUAAAGAAAGAGACCUAAGCCUUGAAAUACAGUAAGUGGGAGAAAACCUGGUAUUAAAAGUAGGAUUAAAAAUCUUACAGAUUUAGACAACGAGACUGAUCUCAAA
Molecule: long non-coding RNA, 447 nt
Filed under: Homo sapiens (human)
Lineage: Eukaryota; Metazoa; Chordata; Mammalia; Primates; Hominidae
Description: HSALNT0381784
Source: RNAcentral